This is a long non-coding RNA of Paramacrobiotus metropolitanus, 1278 nucleotides long. RefSeq lists it as uncharacterized. The record is from RefSeq and is a predicted model, not a curated record. NCBI's taxonomy places the organism in Eukaryota, Metazoa, Tardigrada, Eutardigrada, Parachela, Macrobiotidae. The transcript is spliced from 3 exons.
UGUAGUCUGUACGCUGUAAAGUAUCAUUCGAAGAUCAUUUCUGAUAACUGAUGCUAAUCGAUAAGUCCUGUUCGCAAACUAUCCUCAAACAGUUGUGUACAUAUUGUAAAGUAGGGCCGAUGCGAUAAACUUCCUAGAGAACCCAAAUCAUGCUAUUAGUCCCUAAACGUCUAAGAUUCAUUUGAAAUUCUCGACUGUUGAUAUCUUCGGGAUCCAGCAACUUCACUGAAACGACGAGCAUAACCUAAGGUUCAAAGGAAACUCUACAUAAGCACGGAAAUUUUAUUGCUGUUCGGAUACAAAAAUGCACACCGAUCCCGUUCCCAAACGGGAACUGGUCAGUUGGAGAUUGUUCAUCUUUGGUUUACUGGCGAUAUUCUGCGGAUUGGGACUAAUACUCCUGGAAAUUGUCACUGCCUUUAAACUCGGAUGGUCAGCAGCAUAUCUCCAUGCCUUGGCUGUUCGGGCCUUUACCGGCUUGCUUUACAUUGUAGCAGGUACUGCGGAAAUCUGCGCUUGUCGCUCCGUGAAUAUUGAGGACAGGGAACAAAGUCGGCAAGCCUUAUUCCUAUUCGACAGCAUGGCACGACAGUCUGUCACCUGCACUGCACUUUCGAGCGUCCUUGGCAUCGUUAGGGCUGUUCGUGGUCGUUAUGACCUUGGAGCCGUAUUACCCUCUGGGAUGGCACUGCUGGGCUAUCCAAUGUCCGGAUACCGUUGCCAGCCUCGCGACGCUUAGGACGGCAUUUAUAGUCUGCAUUGUCGGGAUUGCGCUUGUCUGUUCGUUAAUCGAGUGCCUUUUAACAUAUAAGUAUGCGAAAAAGUCUACCAGUACAAGUAUUGUCGAUUCUGAUGACGAACCGUUGCUGGGAUCUCAAGAAGAUCUGACGGCCGGGGACAUUGUGAAAAAGAUUGUGGAGACAGCAGGAAAAUUAGUCACUGCCAGUGACGAGCAACGUCAGAUGGUUUUUGCAACAAAUGCCAGCGGAUACUGCUAACAAUUACGGACAACAAUACCACCAGCAGUUAUUUGCGCAAAUAUAGUUCAGUGAUCAAUGAUCCUCAUUGAGUGAUAAACAUUCAGUGGUACUUACGGUUAGGUUGGUUAAGCACAACUGUCAUUCUUUUUGGUAAUAUGGAUGUUUUGGGCUUUUGGAAAUGUUUGACUGAUCUUAUACGUAUGUAAAAUUAUCUUCUGCUUGUUCUCAGUGAAUUUUCGGUUGAUUAAAUAAGUUUUGCACAUGCUGAACUUUAGAUAGGUGCCGAUAAAGGGCGACG